This 76-nucleotide transfer RNA is filed under the name Nitrosomonas sp. RNAcentral describes it as "tRNA-Lys". It matches the Rfam family "tRNA". Rfam says of the family: Transfer RNA (tRNA) molecules are approximately 80 nucleotides in length. Their secondary structure includes four short double-helical elements and three loops (D, anti-codon, and T loops). The record is from RNAcentral. Lineage: Bacteria; Pseudomonadati; Pseudomonadota; Betaproteobacteria; Nitrosomonadales; Nitrosomonadaceae.
GGGUCGUUAGCUCAGCUGGUAGAGCAGCGGACUUUUAAUCCGUUGGUCGCGCCUUCGAAUCGCGCAUGACCUACCA